UUCCGUAGGUGAACCUGCGGAAGGAUCAUUCGCACAAAGAAUAUCUUUUACACCCGCCACGCACCACACAGUGCUUUCUGUUUUUAAUCAGGAUUUAUAUCCAACUCGUCGAUGUUGCGAUUCCAUUGCAAUGUAUGCGAUGUUAUCUAUCUCUUGCGACGACGAAUGCCUUGGCUCGAGGAUCGUUGAAGGACGCAGCGAGCUGUGCUAAACAUCUCGAAUUGCAGAUUUCCGAGAAAGAAAAGGAUUCUGAACGCACUUUGCGAAUUGACCUCGUGUCAGUUCACUUGAUUGGCGGUGACCGCAAUAUGCAGUCGCUCGAACUCCGAAGUUUGAGUGGUGUGCACGUGUUGUUGCAGAUUGUUGCACCGACAUGUUCGUAGAAUUCGACGCGCCUCUCGUUUUCGAGCAGCAUUAUGACUUCGUGUUAUGAUGUUCGAAAGCAGGGACCGUUUCUUGUUUGGUUUUCCAAACGAUUCUUUCGCACGCUCACGACCAGUCAAGGGAUUACCCGCUGAAUUUAAGCAUAUCAAUAAGCGGAGGAAAU
RNAcentral lists this ribosomal RNA (547 nucleotides) under uncultured eukaryote. Its description in RNAcentral is "eukaryotic LSU rRNA". The stretch from base 151 to 303 matches the Rfam family "5.8S ribosomal RNA". The record is from RNAcentral.